This 353-nucleotide ribosomal RNA is filed under the name Microsomacanthus pachycephala. Its description in RNAcentral is "bacterial SSU rRNA". It matches the Rfam family "Eukaryotic small subunit ribosomal RNA", at positions 1480 to 1814 of the family's 1831-position model. The record is from RNAcentral. Lineage: Eukaryota; Metazoa; Platyhelminthes; Cestoda; Cyclophyllidea; Hymenolepididae.
GUCCGGGCCGACAGCCGCUACAAUGGCGGAGUCAACGAGUCAGACCUUCUGGCCUGAAAAGGUUGGGUAAACUGGUCAAUCACCGUCAUGUCAGGGAUCGGGGCUUGGAAUUGGGGCCCGUGAACGAGGAAUUCCUAAUUAGUUCAAGUCAUUAGCUUGCGCUGAUUACGUCCCUGCCCUUUGUACACACCGGCCGUCGCUACUACCGAUUGAAUGGUUAGGUAAGGUUCCUUGGAUCGGCACCAAUUAGCCAUCGGCCGAAAGGUGUCGUGGCUUAGCGGAGCUGAGAAGACGACCAAACUUGAUCAUUUAGAGGAAGGAAAAGUCGGAACAAGGUUUCCGGAUGGUGGAAA